GGGGAAUCUUGGACAAUGGGCGCAAGCCUGAUCCAGCCAUGCCGCGUGAGUGAAGAAGGUCUUCGGAUUGUAAAGCUCUUUUACCAGGGACGAUAAUGACGGUACCUGGAGAAUAAGCCCCGGCAAACUUCGUGCCAGCAGCCGCGGUAAUACGAAGGGGGCUAGCGUUGUUCGGAAUUACUGGGCGUAAAGCGCACGUAGGCGGGUCGUUAAGUCAGGGGUGAAAUCCCGGAGCUCAACUCCGGAACUGCCUUUGAUACUGGCGAUCUAGAGAUCGGAAGAGGUUAGUGGAAUUCCCAGUGUAGAGGUGAAAUUCGUAGAUAUUGGGAAGAACACCAGUGGCGAAGGCGGCUAACUGGUCCGAUACUGACGCUGAGGUGCGAAAGCGUGGGGAGCAAAC
Molecule: ribosomal RNA, 400 nt
Filed under: uncultured bacterium
Lineage: Bacteria
Description: bacterial SSU rRNA
Rfam family: Bacterial small subunit ribosomal RNA
Source: RNAcentral